Molecule: long non-coding RNA, 1128 nt
Filed under: Capra hircus (goat)
Lineage: Eukaryota; Metazoa; Chordata; Mammalia; Artiodactyla; Bovidae
Description: lncRNA (ENSCHIG00010009613.1)
Source: RNAcentral
GCACCAGUAAUGUAUAUUUGCAAGUUGUGGUAUGUACCAAGAAGUAAAAUAAAUAGGCAUUACUCAAGAGGAAGUGAGAGGAGGAACCUGAUUUAAAUCAGGUGAUCAGGGACAGGCUCCUGAGGAAGGUGAUAUAUGUGUGAGGUGUGAGGAAGGAUCAGUCUUGAAAAAUGUAAGGCGAAUACAGUCCCAAGCAGAGGCAACAGUAUGUACAAAAGGCUUGGGAGCAAAUGAGUGGCCUGUUCCUGGAAUUUCCAGAAGACUGAAAUAAAAUGUGUCCUGACCUCUCCUCCGAAAUCCUGUCACUAACCCAAUUAUCUCUUUGGCUUACCCACAUUUAAUUGAACGGUUGGUUUUUGGUCUGUCUCCCCAUUACUAAAAUUAAAGUUCCAUAAAGGCAGGGAUUUAUCUGUUUUGUUUCUCUGCUCCAUCUUCAGGGAUGACAAGUUCCUGGUACUUAGCAGCUGCUCAUAAAUAUUGAACGAAUAAAUGAGUUAGUAAUAACUGCAGGAGUCCAGGCAUAAGAUAUUGUUGGCUUGGUUAAAGUGGAGGUGAUGGGGGUUGAGAAGGGCCAAGAAGCUUGAGAUAUCUUUUGGAGUUACAGUCAAUAGCACUGGUUGAUAGAUGAGAAGUGAGGAGUAAAAGAAAAGAAGUCAAGUGGCUCACAGGUUUCCAACCUGAACAAAUAGGUAGAUGAUGGUGGUGCCAGUGGCAGAAUGAGAGAGCCAACUGGGAAAUAAGCUGACAAUCCCAGGACCUUGCUUGCAAGCUUUUAACUGUUUGAUAAGUGAAUGAAUGAAAUGAUGAAUCGCCACACUAUGUAAAGAAAAAAGGAGCUACCCUAAUGUUCACAAAAAACUGUUUAUUUUUUCUUUGUUAUUUAAAAACUCAAGAAAAAAGGUAUCAUUUUGUAACUAUCUUUGAAUCCCAGUACUGUGCAUUGUUAUUUUAAAUGGCACAUAUAUUUUAUUUAAAAUUAUCUUUUAAUUAUUCAAAAUAAAUUAAUCACUUUCCAAAUCAGUUGUUUAUAUCUAAAAUUAGCCCCUGAACUAGUGUGUGUUCAUAUAUGCAUACACACACACACUGUACAUUCAUUUUCAAUAUGUGAAUGAGCACUAAUUUAUCUAA